CGGUAACAGCUCAAAUUUGAAAUCUGGCUCUUUCAGGGUCCGAGUUGUAAUUUGUAGAAGAUGCUUUGGGUGUGGCCCUGGUCUAAGUUCCUUGGAACAGGAUGUCAUAGAGGGUGAGAGCCCCGUGUCCAGGUGGAUGCCUUUGCCAUGUGAAGCUCCUUCGAC
Molecule: ribosomal RNA, 165 nt
Filed under: Hyaloscyphaceae sp.
Lineage: Eukaryota; Fungi; Ascomycota; Leotiomycetes; Helotiales; Hyaloscyphaceae
Description: partial large subunit ribosomal RNA
Rfam family: Eukaryotic large subunit ribosomal RNA
Source: RNAcentral